AGUGAACGCUGGCGGUAUGCCUAACACAUGCAAGUCGAACGGCAGCACAGUAAGAGCUUGCUCUUACUGGUGGCGAGUGGCGGACGGGUGAGGAAUACAUCGGCAUCUACUUUUUCUUGGGGGAUAACGUAGGGACACUUACGCUAAUACCGCAUACUAUCUACGGGUUAAAGCAGGGGAUCUUCACACCUUUCGCGUUUCAUUUAGCCGAUGUCGGAUUAGCUAGUUGGCGGGGUAAAGGCCCACCAAGGCGACGAUCCGUAGCUGGUCUGAGAGGAUGAUCAGCCACACUGGAACUGAGACACGGUCCAGACUCCUACGGGAGGCAGCAGUGGGGAAUAUUGGACAAUGGGCGAAAGCCUGAUCGAGCAACACCGCGUGGGUGAAGAAGGCCUUCGGGUUGUAAAGCCCUUUUGUUGGGAAAGAAAAGCAGCAGAUGGAUACCCGGAUGUUCUGACGGUACCCAAAGAAUAAGCACCGGCUAACUUCGUG
This 492-nucleotide ribosomal RNA is filed under the name uncultured bacterium. RNAcentral's name for it is "partial 16S ribosomal RNA". It matches the Rfam family "Bacterial small subunit ribosomal RNA", at positions 29 to 507 of the family's 1533-position model. The record is from RNAcentral.